Molecule: ribosomal RNA, 253 nt
Filed under: uncultured bacterium
Lineage: Bacteria
Description: partial 16S ribosomal RNA
Rfam family: Bacterial small subunit ribosomal RNA
Source: RNAcentral
GACGAACCGUGCGAACGUUGUUCGGAAUCACUGGGCUUAAAGGGCGCGUAGGCGGUCUCGUAAGUCUGCGGUGAAAUCCUCCAGCUCAACUGGAGAACGGCCGUGGAUACUGCGAGUCUCGAGGGAGGUAGGGGCGUGCGGAACAGAUGGUGGAGCGGUGAAAUGCGUUGAUAUCAUCUGGAACUCCGGUGGCGAAGGCGGCACGCUGGACCUCUUCUGACGCUGAGGCGCGAAAGCCAGGGGAGCAAACGGG